Long non-coding RNA from Temnothorax curvispinosus, 1250 nucleotides. RefSeq lists it as uncharacterized. The transcript is spliced from 2 exons. The record is from RefSeq and is a predicted model, not a curated record. Lineage: Eukaryota; Metazoa; Arthropoda; Insecta; Hymenoptera; Formicidae.
GUGACUCGUGACACGCGCGCCGCAGCCUUCUAAGCGUGCAGCGCGGCGCGGCGUGACAAUCAUCAUGUGGGUACCCAUCUAAUAUCAAAGUACGCACGACCGUGACAAAUCCCAGAUUACCUUUCGGGGAUAACAAUACGGGCGGCGGUAUGUAGAAGACAGAACCGUGGUGUUAAUUUCCUGUUGCGGAGCCAAACAAGCCAACAGGGAGAAACAAAGGCUCAUAGGGGAUCUUCGCUACGCCUGUCUGCUUUUAUCCCUCGAUUCGCGUCUUCCAUCGUCAAAGAUGAAAUGGCAAAACGGAAAAGACCGUAGCAUUUUCGUUCUGAUAAAGAAGAAGUUAUACAAGAAUUUGUGCAAGAAUAAUUGUGCCCGUUAUCACAUGCACUAUGUUUUAAUAUAAGAAGUUAUUCUUACAAAGUAGGCAAAGAAGCUUGUUCUCCAUUAAGAUAAACCGAUCUUACAGAGUUUCUACUUCGGUGAAUUUUCAAAUGCCUCUAUCCUAGAAUUAAGGGAAUAGAGCGCUUGGAUUUUGUAGUUAAAGCGCGGUUACGAGACGUACGAAGCAGUCCACCAAGGUAGACAUUAAACAAACAUCCUCGCCGGUGCUGCGGAUACGCGAGGUGAAGCGGCAAUAAGACACGUCGAGUAAACUACGUGUCUGCGUGUAACAACGAGCCCAGCUAGCUACCCGGUGCGGCACGAAACGAAUGCAAUUGCGAGCAUCGGCAAGGAUAUAAGCGUGAUGACCAUGUUCGCUCCGUGCAGCCCCGUCUAGAGUUCCUAUUAUCGCUCACGUCGCCGCGGUAUGGCCGAUAUAAAUCGGAACGGGUGGAACGUAUAGCACACCAUCUCCCUUUGCCGCCACGCUCUUCACGCUUUAAUGCCUGGGAAAGUGUUGCGAACGAACGCGGACCGAAAAGUGGAACAGAUUCGUACGAUGCCGGCAAUGAAAGCAGGGAAAUAUGAAAGGGGAUUUAUACUGAGACACAGACUAUUUCACGGAAACGAUUCAAAGUGGAUAGUCGUGGGACAUUACGGAGAUCUAGGACAAUCUCCUGGCACUAUACUCUUACAAUGUAGAGCAAGAUAACGGAGACGCGCCGUCAUUGUAUUCCUUUCAAAGGAACCUUUCAUGGUAUUCACACGCCUGCUUGUUGAAUACAUAAUUUUAAGUUUUAUUUAUUGAAAAUUUAAAUGCGAUGUAAACAUGCAAUAAAUAAUCAGAUAAUCAUACACGAAAACAUUAA